AAAGGCUACAGUCUCAGGAAGGCAAAUCGAAGAUGCAGUUCCUUUAACAAUCAGUUCUGCUGCAGCAGUUGACAGAAACCCCGAGGGCAGCAGAGAGAUGGUGCGGGUCAGCUCGACAAGCAGCUGCUGAGAGGUGGACCGUUUUUAUACAGGCUCUGCCCAUCAAUCAUAUUGGCGCCUCCCUUCUUCGGCACAAGGAUGCUGAAAUCUGACAGCUCUGGGACCUUUCUCACAUCUGUUGUCUGCGCUCUGCUCUCUCGCCUGCUGGAAGGGCUCUCCUGUCCGUCUCGUGUGGCAGAUGCGAGCAUCUCUAACUUUCUAAAUUCAGCUGUGCCUCGUGUUCUUUCCUGUUUUCUGCUGCCCAACAGAUGCGUUUGCCGACUCAGCAGUGCAGAAUUUCUUUGGGUGAUAAAAUAAAUAAAUGAAAACCAUACUUCA
RNAcentral lists this long non-coding RNA (438 nucleotides) under Rattus norvegicus (Norway rat). Its description in RNAcentral is "long non-coding RNA NONRATT025710". The record is from RNAcentral. Lineage: Eukaryota; Metazoa; Chordata; Mammalia; Rodentia; Muridae.